RNAcentral lists this ribosomal RNA (433 nucleotides) under uncultured bacterium. Its description in RNAcentral is "partial 16S ribosomal RNA". It matches the Rfam family "Bacterial small subunit ribosomal RNA", at positions 29 to 507 of the family's 1533-position model. The record is from RNAcentral.
AAUGAACGCUGGCGGCAUGCCUAACACAUGCAAGUCGAACGACACCUCCGGGGCUAGUGGCUCAUGGGUGCGUAACGCGGGGGAACCUAUCCUUAGGUUCGGAAUAACUCCCCGGAGGGGGUGCUAAUACCGGAGAAUUUCUACGGACCAAAGGUUUAGCGCCUUUGGAUGGGCCCGCGUGGGAUUACCUAGUUGGUAUGGAAAAAGCCUACCUAGGCGACGAUCGAUAGCUGGGCUGAGAGGAACAUCAGCCACACUGGGAGUAGGACACAGCCCAGACUCCUACGGGAGGCAGCAGUGGGGAAUAUUGGAAAAUCGGGGGAAGCAUGAUCCAGCACUGCCGCGUGAGUGAUGAAGGCCUUAGGGUUGUACAGCUCUUUUACCCGGGAUGAUAAUGACAGUACCGGGAGAAUAAGCUCCGGCUAACUCCGUG